This 214-nucleotide small RNA is filed under the name Histoplasma capsulatum. RNAcentral's name for it is "hypothetical RNA". Lineage: Eukaryota; Fungi; Ascomycota; Eurotiomycetes; Onygenales; Ajellomycetaceae. The record is from RNAcentral. RNAcentral also lists the same sequence under 1 other name.
CAGUUAAUUUCAGUGAUAUUCUCAACCGACGUUACAUGUGUGGCUUCCAGUUUGAUGAUAAUAUCUCAGGCUAUGAGGGUGAUUUGUCAAUUACAAUCCCUCUGAAAGGGUUCAGUGGCCUGCGACUAGUAUCAGAUGGUGAAGGCUUUACAGCCUUGCAGAUAAAGAAUAUAUCAGCUUGGGAACAGAAUUGGCCUUUAAAGUACACGCGAUU